RNAcentral lists this small nucleolar RNA (75 nucleotides) under Leishmania tarentolae. It matches the Rfam family "Small nucleolar RNA TBR7". From Rfam's summary of the family: TBR7 is a member of the C/D class of snoRNA which contain the C (UGAUGA) and D (CUGA) box motifs. Most of the members of the box C/D family function in directing site-specific 2'-O-methylation of substrate RNAs. Lineage: Eukaryota; Euglenozoa; Kinetoplastea; Trypanosomatida; Trypanosomatidae. The record is from RNAcentral.
ACACAUGAUGAUUGACUGUAACAUCACAGACUUUGAGUCGCGAUGAUAGCAACCAUGUCGCCCCAGUCUGACGUG